RNAcentral lists this ribosomal RNA (479 nucleotides) under Candida albicans. RNAcentral describes it as "eukaryotic LSU rRNA". The stretch from base 112 to 265 matches the Rfam family "5.8S ribosomal RNA". The record is from RNAcentral. Lineage: Eukaryota; Fungi; Ascomycota; Pichiomycetes; Serinales; Debaryomycetaceae.
UACUUUGUGAAACAAACUUGCUUUGGCGGUGGGCCCAGCCUGCCGCCAGAGGUCUAAACUUACAACCAAUUUUUUAUCAACUUGUCACACCAGAUUAUUACUAAUAGUCAAAACUUUCAACAACGGAUCUCUUGGUUCUCGCAUCGAUGAAGAACGCAGCGAAAUGCGAUACGUAAUAUGAAUUGCAGAUAUUCGUGAAUCAUCGAAUCUUUGAACGCACAUUGCGCCCUCUGGUAUUCCGGAGGGCAUGCCUGUUUGAGCGUCGUUUCUCCCUCAAACCGCUGGGUUUGGUGUUGAGCAAUACGACUUGGGUUUGCUUGAAAGACGGUAGUGGUAAGGCGGGAUCGCUUUGACAAUGGCUUAGGUCUAACCAAAAACAUUGCUUGCGGCGGUAACGUCUACCACGUAUAUCUUCAAACUUUGACCUCAAAUCAGGUAGGACUACCCGCUGAACUUAAGCAUAUCAAUAAGCGGAGGAA